UACCGGCAGCACGAGUGAUGGCCGAUUUUAUUGGGCCUAAAGCGUCCGUAGCCGGCCAGACAAGUCCGUUGGGAAAUCGACGCGCUCAACGCGUCGGCGUCCAGCGGAAACUGUCUGGCUUGGGGCCGGAAGACCUGAGGGGUACGUCCGGGGUAGGAGUGAAAUCCCGUAAUCCUGGACGGACCACCGGUGGCGAAAGCGCCUCAGGAAGACGGACCCGACGGUGAGGGACGAAAGCUAGGGUCUCGAACCGG
Molecule: ribosomal RNA, 254 nt
Filed under: uncultured bacterium
Lineage: Bacteria
Description: partial 16S ribosomal RNA
Rfam family: Archaeal small subunit ribosomal RNA
Source: RNAcentral